RNAcentral lists this ribosomal RNA (778 nucleotides) under Amblyseius eharai. RNAcentral describes it as "eukaryotic LSU rRNA". It matches the Rfam family "Eukaryotic large subunit ribosomal RNA", at positions 1 to 650 of the family's 3401-position model. The record is from RNAcentral. Lineage: Eukaryota; Metazoa; Arthropoda; Arachnida; Mesostigmata; Phytoseiidae.
CUGAAAUCAAGUGUGACGACCCGCUGAACUUAAGCAUAUCAAUAAGCGGAGGAAAAGAAAUCAAAUGAGAUUUCCGUAGUAGCUGCGAGUGAACUGGAAUCAAGCCUAUUGCCAAUUCUUAUGUUUCGUACAAUAAGAGAUGAGGUGUAAAGGAGUUUCGUGUUGAACAGAUGCACGGCCUAAAUAUUAUCGAGUGAGUUCUCAGAGAAGGUGAAAAGCCUGUUUGGUUGUGUCUGUCUGUUGAAUCGGAAUUCUUACGAGUCUAGUUGUUUGAGAGUACAACUUAAAGCUGGUGGUAAAUUUCAUCAAAGGCUAAAUAUAUGAGGGGACUAAUAGCGAACAAGUACCAUGAGGGAAAGUUGAAAAGAACUCUGACGAGAGAGUUCAACAGUGCGUGAAACCAUAUUGAGUAAAACAGAUAACUGUGUCGUUAUGCGGUGUGUCUAUCAACAGUAUAUCGGGUGUUGCGAUGCGGCGAGUGUUAGCUGUUUAUUCAGACGAUCGCUCGCUGUUAGCAUAGCUCGGGGUUCUGUGUACUAGUGCACAUCCAAUCAUUGAGAAACUAUGCUACUGCGGCAUCGGUGCACAUCAGUCCCCGCCUAGCGGGAAGUUGUGUACUGGGCUCAGCUGGCGGCGUAGUUUAGCUGUGUGACAGCUGUGAGAUGCGUUUGUUGAAUGUGCCUGCUUUGUCUGCGAAUCGGUUUAUUCCUUUUUGCGGUGAGUAUGGUACAGUAGGCGAGCGUCUCGCCAUCAAUGGUUGACAUUAGUUAUUUGACCC